GAGCGCCUGGCGCAAUGGUAGCGCAUCUGGGUCCGGUAUAGUGGUUUACGUCAACGUCACACCAGAAGGCUGCAGGUUCGAGCCCUGCGGUGCUCG
Pterulicium gracile is the source of this 96-nucleotide non-coding RNA. The record is from the annotation of a GenBank genome assembly. Lineage: Eukaryota; Fungi; Basidiomycota; Agaricomycetes; Agaricales; Pterulaceae.